This 379-nucleotide ribosomal RNA is filed under the name uncultured bacterium. RNAcentral's name for it is "bacterial SSU rRNA". It matches the Rfam family "Bacterial small subunit ribosomal RNA", at positions 32 to 405 of the family's 1533-position model. The record is from RNAcentral.
AAUCAACGCUGGCGGCGUGCCUAACACAUGCAAGUCGAACGAGAAAGUGGAGCAAUCCAUGAGUACAGUGGCGACCGGGUGAGUAACACGUGACUAACCUACCCUGAAGUGGGGAAUAACCUCGGGAAACCGGGGCUAAUACCGCAUAACAUCGCGAGGGGAAGAUCCUUGUGAUCAAAAGGAGCAAUUCGCUUUAGGAGGGGGUCGCGGCUGAUUAGCUAGUUGGUGAGGUAACGGCCCACCAAGGCUAAGAUCAGUAUCCGGCCUGAGAGGGCGCACGGACACACUGGAACUGAAACACGGUCCAGACUCCUACGGGAGGCAGCAGUGGGGAAUUUUGCGCAAUGGGGGAAACCCUGACGCAGCAACGCCGCGUGGA